This 660-nucleotide long non-coding RNA is filed under the name Mytilus galloprovincialis (Mediterranean mussel). Lineage: Eukaryota; Metazoa; Mollusca; Bivalvia; Mytilida; Mytilidae. The record is from RNAcentral.
ACAAUAAUUACGGAAACAAUCGAAGUAAUUAUAGUUUGCAGAAUCAUUACUUGCAUUUUUAUACAGAGGAUCAUGUGUGGAUGAUGAUAUUUGACUUGUGAAAGGAUUGACAAAAGAAUUUUAUAUUGUGGAUUAAAUUGGGCAUUUGAAAUAUUCCUAAUGUGUGGAUUACAUGAGAUAUCCAAAUGUUGUUUACGUGAUGUAAAAUAGGACUAUGUAUAAGUUCUACUAAUAUAAGGAUUAAAAUGGACGGAUAAUUUGUUAUAGAGCAAGGAUGUAUCAUGGAGAGGUUGUUUCGGAUAGCUAUUGAGAUAAACAGAGAAAUUGAAUUCAGAUAUAUGUGGAUUAAUGAAUUAAUAUUUAUCAAGGAUAGUUUCUUUGUGAACUUUAAUUUUGUCGGAUCUAUUUCAUUCAUUUUAUCUUUUCUGACAGCUAUUCUAUUUUUUAUAAACAGUUCAAAAAUAUAUUUAUUUAAUAUGUUUAUUGUAUUGUGAUUCUUUAUUAUUUGCGUCUUAAUAAAUUUGUUUAUCAAUACAAUUUUCCGUAUGUAUUUUUCUAAAACAGGGAAAACUACUUUUGUGAUUGUUUUAUCACAACUUGACUUGUUCUCAUCUCUUGUUUGUUGGAUCGCAUAUUUAGAACAGAAAUAUUUAUUCAUUG